GUCGAGAAUCUUCCGCAAUGGGCGCAAGCCUGACGGAGCGACGCCGCGUGCAGGAUGAAGGCCUUCGGGUUGUAAACUGCUGUCACAUGUUAAGAAUGGACGGAUGUUAAUAGCAUCCGGACUGACGAAGGCGUGAAAGGAAGUCACAGCUAACUACGUGCCAGCAGCUGCGGUAAGACGUAGGUGGCAAGCGUUGCUCGGAAUUACUGGGCAUAAAGGGCGUGUAGGUGGCCUGGCAAGUCGGCAGUGAAAUCCUAUGGCUCAACCAUAGAAUGGCUGUCGAUACUGCUUGGCUUGAGGGCAGGAGGGGAGAGUGGAACUCCUGGUGUAGCGGUGAAAUGCGUAGAUAUCAGGAGGAACGCCGGUGGCGAAAGCGACUCUCUGGACUGCUUCUGACACUGAGGCGCGAAAGCUAGGGGAGCAAACAGGAUUAGAAACCCGGGUAGUCC
This 449-nucleotide ribosomal RNA is filed under the name uncultured bacterium. RNAcentral describes it as "bacterial SSU rRNA". It matches the Rfam family "Bacterial small subunit ribosomal RNA", at positions 354 to 796 of the family's 1533-position model. The record is from RNAcentral.